AAUGAUAUAUAUUGUUUUAUUUAGAAUAUAUUUUAUAUUUAAACAUGUCACGUCAUCACAUUUUAACCUUGUUUGUCUUCUGUUAACGGCAGGGGCACGGGCGACCCAAAAUUGUAACGUUAAGGGUAUUUUUGGAAAAAAAUUAGUUUAGGGUGCAAGUGGAACAUCGGGAUAAAUAUCAGGAACUUUUUUGACUUUUUGCCUCUGAA
Molecule: long non-coding RNA, 209 nt
Filed under: Panax ginseng (ginseng)
Lineage: Eukaryota; Viridiplantae; Streptophyta; Magnoliopsida; Apiales; Araliaceae
Description: long non-coding RNA (PGIN_LNC011235)
Source: RNAcentral